CACCUGACCCCAUGCCGAACUCAGAAGUGAAACGCCGUAGCGCCGAUGGUAGUGUGGGGUCUCCCCAUGCGAGAGUAAGGAACUGCCAGAC
Molecule: ribosomal RNA, 91 nt
Filed under: Escherichia coli
Lineage: Bacteria; Pseudomonadati; Pseudomonadota; Gammaproteobacteria; Enterobacterales; Enterobacteriaceae
Source: RNAcentral